This 455-nucleotide ribosomal RNA is filed under the name uncultured cyanobacterium. RNAcentral describes it as "bacterial SSU rRNA". It matches the Rfam family "Bacterial small subunit ribosomal RNA", at positions 224 to 694 of the family's 1533-position model. The record is from RNAcentral. Lineage: Bacteria; Bacillati; Cyanobacteriota.
GAUGGGCUCGCGUCAGAUUAGCUAGUUGGAGUGGUAACGGCACACCAAGGCGACGAUCUGUAGCUGGUCUGAGAGGAUGAUCAGCCACACUGGGACUGAGACACGGCCCAGACUCCUACGGGAGGCAGCAGUGGGGAAUUUUCCGCAAUGGGCGAAAGCCUGACGGAGCAAGACCGCGUGAGGGAGGAAGGCUUUUGGGUCGUAAACCUCUUUUAUUGGGGAAGAAGCACUGACGGUACCCAAUGAAUCAGCAUCGGCUAACUCCGUGCCAGCAGCCGCGGUAAUACGGAGGAUGCAAGCGUUAUCCGGAAUUAUUGGGCGUAAAGCGUCCGCAGGUGGCUUGUCAAGUCUGCUGUCAAAGCGUGUAGCUUAACUACAUAAGGGCAGUGGAAACUGGCAGGCUAGAGUUUGGUAGGGGUAAGGGGGAUUCCCAGUGUAGCGGUGAAAUGCGUAGA